AUUGACUUCAGCGGGGUUUGG
This 21-nucleotide microRNA is filed under the name Gallus gallus (chicken). RNAcentral's name for it is "gga-miR-1803". The record is from miRBase by way of RNAcentral. Lineage: Eukaryota; Metazoa; Chordata; Aves; Galliformes; Phasianidae.